Molecule: ribosomal RNA, 251 nt
Filed under: uncultured prokaryote
Description: partial 16S rRNA
Rfam family: Bacterial small subunit ribosomal RNA
Source: RNAcentral
ACGUAAUAUGCAAGCGUUAUUCGGAAUUACUGGGCGUAAAGGGUGCGUAGGCGGUGAAUUAAGUCGGAUGUGAAAUCCUACGGCUCAACCGUAGAAUUGCGUUCGAAACUGAUUGACUAGAAUCAGAGAAGGGAAGGCGGAAUUCCUGGUGUAGCAGUGAAAUCUGUAGAUAUCUGGAGGAACACCGGUGGCGAAGGCGGCCUUCUGGCUGAUGAUUGACGCUCAUGUGCGAAAGUGUGGGGAGCGAACAG